GCGACUGCAAGCAUUUAAGAUGGAAGAGAACGUGACGACAUUUGGUUUGAUCUCCAGCUCACGCAUCUUUUGAAAGACACCCAAAAUGCACAAUAAUUCCUGCCUGCCACAGUUAUUUUCUUGACUUGCCUUCUCAGCAGCAAGCUUCCCAAAAAUCUUUAUGAUCCUAUCAUCCUCCCUAUCAGUCACCCUACUUUCAGUAGCUUCCUGAACAACACUUGAAGAUGAAGACUUAACUUGAAAUUCACUGGCUUCACCAGCAUCAUCAACCACGUGCUGUGUGAUUGCUGACAAGCCAAAAGCAUCAAUUAUAGAAUUAUAAGUGACAACAUUAGGCCUAAUUCCCUCUUUAGUCAUCUCAUCAAGUAAAGUCACAGAAGAUUCCACUAAUCCAUUCUUGCACAGAGCAUCUAUAAGUGCAGUAUAAAGAACAACAUCAGCCUUCAAUCCUGCCUUCUCAAACUCCCUAAAAAUCUCCAUUGCUUCCUCAUACAGACCACCUUUUGAGUAAACAUCAAUCAAGGUUGAAUAAGUUAGCAAGUUAGGUGAUAUGCAUGCCUCUUUCAUCUCCUUAAACACUUCCCUCACCUCAUCAUACAUGCGUUGUUUUCCAUACCCACCCAAAAGCGCAUUGUAAGUCGCAACAUCUUUCCUAAUACCAGAAUUCUCCAUCUCCUUACAAACAUCCCAAGCCUCCUCAAACCUUCCAAGCAUGGCAAAAGCAGAAACCAAAGUAUUAUAUGAAAUUAAAUCCAAACUAAGCCCCAAAAACUUCAUUUUGUUGAACAGAUUAAGAGCUUCAUCUAAUCUACCAGCUUUACCGUAUCCACGAACCAUGGUACUGUAAGUAACAACAUUAGGCAAUACAUUCUUACCAGGCAUCUCAGAUAUGAUCUCAAGAGCCGCGUCCAUUUGCCCUGCUUUACAGAAUGCAUCCACAAUUGUAUUAUAAGUGAAUAUAUCUAGGUCAAUCCCUCUAUUUAUCAAUUCAGUAAACAAAUUCCUUGCUGCCUCCCAUUGCCCUCCCCUACUACACACGGAAAGCAGCGAAUUAAAUGUAAUUAGGUCUGGUUGCACUCCAUUUUUAAACAUCUCAUCAAAAAUCUCCACUGCCUUCUUAAACUCCACACCCCCUAUGGCACACGCAUCAAUCACAGCAUUGUAAGAGACUAAAUUUGGCUUUAGCCCAUAAGCCUCCAUUGAAUAAAAAACCUUAAAAGCAUCAUUCCAAUAACCACUUUUCCCAUAAGCACUAAUUAAAGCAGAAAAAGUAUAAACAGUGUUACCAUAUCCCUCUCUAAGAGCAGUCUCAAAUACAGCCUCUGCAAGCUCCACUUUACCUAAUCUACCAAGAGUACUAAUCAUGGCACUAGCUAAUUUUCCUUGCUCGUUCUUCCUCUUUUCCCUUCUCAUUGCAAACUCGAAGCAUCGGAUCGCUUUAGAAGAGUCUCCUCUGUCUCCAAGCUUUCGAAGCAAGAAAGUAUAAUCAUCGGAGCUACAGAGCCGAGACUCGAAAUUAAGCAACACAUUCUCAAGGGUCUGAUCAUCUUUCCCAUACAGGACCACGUGCUGCAAAGCUUCCUCCGCGACUAAGGUAUGGCGGAUACUCAGAGUGGAUUUUGGGCGCCCAAUGUGUAGCUUGGACACGAAUCGUCGGCGACCCGAAAAAUCGGCGGCGAGCUGAGAUUUUUGUGAUUGAAGAGUGGCGAGAGAAGGGAAGGGUUGGUUCUGGGCAUUAGUAGUGGCGGCGGUGGAAGCACCUGGUUUUGGUGCAUUGUGGGGGGAGGAAGGGAGAGGGGGUUUAGCAAGAGAAACAUUGUGAUUGGUCCAACGUCGGCAGCGUUUCUGGUGGUUCUGAUUACGCUUGUUUGCAGUAAUUGAGCAGUGUGGUGGCGUUGACGCCAUUCAAUUUCUUGAUAAAGAAACAGACUUCACAGAUAAAUAUGAUCAAUGUGGAAGUUAGAGAAAGAAGCUGCACCUGCAAAUGGUGCUGAGGAGGUUUUGCUAGGGUUUGGGCGAAGAAGGAAGCGCCACUGCUUUGGAUAUAGCAGAGAUUAGAGAGAGAAAGAUUCUUGGAUAACUCAGCUGUGCUGCGUUGAGCUUUUGGGUUUAGAUAUUGGAAUUUUCGCAACCUUUUUU
RNAcentral lists this unclassified non-coding RNA (2139 nucleotides) under Hevea brasiliensis (rubber tree). Lineage: Eukaryota; Viridiplantae; Streptophyta; Magnoliopsida; Malpighiales; Euphorbiaceae. The record is from RNAcentral.